AGAUUGAACGCUGGCGGCAGGCCUAACACAUGCAAGUCGAGCGGCAGCACGGGUACUUGUACCUGGUGGCGAGCGGCGGACGGGUGAGUAAUGCCUAGGAAUCUGCCUGAUAGUGGGGGAUAACGUUCGGAAACGGACGCUAAUACCGCAUACGUCCUACGGGAGAAAGUGGGGGAUCGUUCGGACCUCACGCUAUCAGAUGAGCCUAGGU
Molecule: ribosomal RNA, 211 nt
Filed under: uncultured soil bacterium
Lineage: Bacteria
Description: partial 16S ribosomal RNA
Rfam family: Bacterial small subunit ribosomal RNA
Source: RNAcentral